RNAcentral lists this ribosomal RNA (507 nucleotides) under uncultured bacterium. RNAcentral's name for it is "bacterial SSU rRNA". It matches the Rfam family "Bacterial small subunit ribosomal RNA", at positions 15 to 518 of the family's 1533-position model. The record is from RNAcentral.
GAUUAUGGCUCAGGAUGAACGCUGGCGGCGUGCCUAACACAUGCAAGUCGAACGAAGCAUACGGACUGGAGAUUCGUCGAAGGACCGUAUGACUUAGUGGCGGACGGGUGAGUAAUGUAUGAGCAACCUGCCUUUCAGAGGGGGACAACAGUUGGAAACGACUGCUAAUACCGCGUAACGUAUCGUGAGGGCAUCCUCGUGAUACCAAAGGAGCAAUCCGCUGAAAGAUGGGCUCAUAUCUGAUUAGCUUGUUGGCGGGGUAGCGGCCCACCAAGGCGACGAUCAGUAGCCGGACUGAGAGGUUGAACGGCCACAUUGGGACUGAGAUACGGCCCAGACUCCUACGGGAGGCAGCAGUGGGGAAUAUUGGGCAAUGGGCGAAAGCCUCGACCCAGCAACGCCGCGUGAAGGAAGAAGGUCUUCGGAUUGUAAACUUCUUUUAUGAGGGACGAAGGACGUGACGGUACCUCAUGAAUAAGCCACGGCUAACUACGUGCCAGCAGCCGC